RNAcentral lists this ribosomal RNA (455 nucleotides) under uncultured bacterium. RNAcentral's name for it is "bacterial SSU rRNA". It matches the Rfam family "Bacterial small subunit ribosomal RNA", at positions 340 to 786 of the family's 1533-position model. The record is from RNAcentral.
UACGAAGGCAGCAGUGGGGAAUAUUGCACAAUGGGCGAAAGCCUGAUGCAGCUAUGCCGCGUGUAUGAAGAAGGCCUUAGGGUUGUAAAGUACUUUCAUCGGGGAGGAAAAACAAAACUAAUAAUUUUAUUUCUUGACGUUACCCGAAAAAGAAGCACCGGCUAACUCCGUGCCAGCAGCCGCGGUAAUACGGAGGGUGCUAGCGUUAAUCAGAAUUACUGGGCGUAAAGAGCACGUAGGUGGUUUUUUUAAGUCAGAUGUGAAAUCCCUGGGCUUAACCUAGGAACUGCAUUUUGAAACUGAAAUACUAGAGUAUCGUAGAGGGAGGUAGAAUUCUAGGUGUAGCGGUGAAAUGCGUAGAUAUCUGGAGGAAUACCUGUGGCGAAAGCGGCCUCCUAAACGAAUACUGACACUGAGGGUGCGAAAGCGUGGGGAGCAAACAGGGAUUAGAUACC